CCUACGGGAGGCAGCAGUGAGGAAUAUUGGUCAAUGGUCGGGAGACUGAACCAGCCAAGCCGCGUGAGGGAUGAAGGUACAGAGUAUCGUAAACCUCUUUUGUCAGGGAACAAAGGCGGGGACGUGUCCCCGGAUGAGUGUACCUGAAGAAAAAGCAUCGGCUAACUCCGUGCCAGCAGCCGCGGUAAUACGGAGGAUGCGAGCGUUAUCCGGAUUUAUUGGGUUUAAAGGGUGCGCAGGCGUUCUGUUAAGUCAGGGGUAAAAGCCCGGGGCUCAACCCCGGCCCGCCGUUGAAACUGGCAGUCUCGAGUUGGAGAGAAGUAUGCGGAAUGCGCGGUGUAGCGGUGAAAUGCAUAGAUAUCGCGCAGAACUCCGAUUGCGAAGGCAGCAUGCCGGCUCCACACUGACGCUGAGGCACGAAAGCGUGGGUAUCGAACAGGAUUAGAUACCCUGGUAGUC
This 459-nucleotide ribosomal RNA is filed under the name uncultured bacterium. RNAcentral's name for it is "partial 16S ribosomal RNA". It matches the Rfam family "Bacterial small subunit ribosomal RNA", at positions 338 to 795 of the family's 1533-position model. The record is from RNAcentral.